AGUGAACGCUGGCGGUAGGCCUAACACAUGCAAGUCGAACGGCAGCACAGGAGAGCUUGCUCUCUGGGUGGCGAGUGGCGGACGGGUGAGGAAUACAUCGGAAUCUACUUUUUCGUGGGGGAUAACGUAGGGAAACUUACGCUAAUACCGCAUACGACCUACGGGUGAAAGCAGGGGAUCUUCGGACCUUGCGCGAUUGAAUGAGCCGAUGUCGGACUAGCUAGUUGGCGGGGUAAAGGCCAACCAAGGCGACGAUCCGUAGCUGGUCUGAGAGGAUGAUCAGCCAAACUGGAACUGAGACACGGUCCAGACUCCUACGGGAGGCAGCGGUGGGGAAUAUUGGACAAUGGGCGCAAGCCUGAUCCAGCCAUACCGCGUGGGUGAAGAAGGCCUUCGGGUUGUAAAGCCCUUUUGUUGGGAAAGGAAUCCAGCUGGCUAAUACCCGGUUGGGAUGACGGUACCCAAAGAAUAAGCACCGGCUAACUUCGUGCCAGCCGCCGCCGUAA
This 506-nucleotide ribosomal RNA is filed under the name uncultured bacterium. Its description in RNAcentral is "partial 16S ribosomal RNA". It matches the Rfam family "Bacterial small subunit ribosomal RNA", at positions 29 to 523 of the family's 1533-position model. The record is from RNAcentral.